UACGGAGGAUGCAAGCGUUAUCCGGAAUGAUUGGGCGUAAAGCGUCCGCAGGUGGCUGUGUAAGUCUGCUGUCAAAGAGCAAAGCUCAACUUUGUAAAGGCAGUGGAAACUACACGGCUAGAGUGCGUUCGGGGCAGAGGGAAUUCCUGGCGUAGCGGUGAAAUGCGUAGAGAUCGGGAAGAACAUCGGUGGCGAAAGCGCUCUGCUGGACUGCAACUGACACUCAGGGACGAAAGCUAGGGGAGCGAAUGGG
Molecule: ribosomal RNA, 253 nt
Filed under: uncultured bacterium
Lineage: Bacteria
Description: partial 16S ribosomal RNA
Rfam family: Bacterial small subunit ribosomal RNA
Source: RNAcentral